RNAcentral lists this ribosomal RNA (253 nucleotides) under uncultured bacterium. RNAcentral describes it as "partial 16S ribosomal RNA". It matches the Rfam family "Bacterial small subunit ribosomal RNA", at positions 524 to 776 of the family's 1533-position model. The record is from RNAcentral.
UACGUAGGGGGCAAGCGUUGUCCGGAUUUAUUGGGCGUAAAGAGCGUGUAGGCGGCCAAACAGGUCAGCUGUGAAAACUCGAGGCUCAACCUCGAGACGUCGGUUGAAACCGUUUGGCUAGAGUCCGGAAGAGGAGAGUGGAAUUCCCGGUGUAGCGGUGAAAUGCGCAGAUAUCGGGAAGAACACCCGUGGCGAAGGCGGCUCUCUGGGACGGUACUGACGCUGGGACGCGAAAGCGUGGGGAGCGAACAGG